UGAUAAUGCUGAAAGGCUGUGACUUUGGUGUCCCUUUUUUGAAUGCACUGCCUGUUGCACAACAGGCUGUGAAAGCACCAGCUUUAUCAGAUAUGGUUAUAUUGAUUGUCUUAAUCUACAUACAUAAGUGAAGCUGUGUUGAGCAGUAUCCACUGGUACUUCUACAGAGUUGAGUGUAAGUCACCUUUGCAGAGGGAAGUCUGUGUCUGAGUGGAGCUGUCUUUUCAUUCGAGGGGAUACAGGAAGUAAACUUGAUGAACAUACAGCAAUGUACUCUCCUGUUUCAGACGAUGUAUUGCUGGCUAGUGACAGCUCAUACCUCAUCUUUGAGGUGUGCUGCAGCAUCUUCUUACUAGAAAUUGAAUUAAGAAGAGGUCUUGAGUCAUGGUGUCUCAUACAAAUUUAAGUGCACGGUGCCUGGCACAAAGGCCUCUGAGAACAUUGAUGUAACAAAAAUAUGUCCUUGUUUUUAUUAUACUUGCCAAGAGGGCUUACAUAUUCCUAAUGUUUUCCUCUUCUCAGUAUAAAUCUGUCUGCUUUGCAGAUAGGUUUAACUCAUUUUCAUCUGCACACACUGGAUGGUAAUUUUUUACUGGAUUUUUUUUUCCACUGAAGCAUGCAUUUUAAAAGAACUGGAUACUAUCCUGAAGGGCAAGCAGUGUUCUAAGCUGAAAGAUUACACUGGUAGUUAAUGAAUGUAAACAUUGACUGAAAUCCUGAUUCUAAUAUUUAAAGAUUUCAGAUUUAAAAACUUUUGAGAUAUGUUAAGUAGAGGUACUUAGGAGAAAGUGAUAGUAAAUUCUGAAGUUCUUUGAGAGAAUACAAAUACUACUUCUAUUUGCGCUUUAUACUAAUAAUAAGCUAUAAGAAAAAAGAGCUUCAAGCGUGGUACUGAAGUGUCUGUAGGAAGUAGCAGAUAGUAAGAAACCAAAAAAUUCAUUUGUAGGGAUUGUGUCUCUUAUUUUUGGCAACUUCUUUGCUUAACCUGACAACUCUCACAGCUGUCACUUGAAAAUUGUAAACUGGUUCAUCGUGAUGUUAAAUGAAAUAUUAAAGCAGUGGUGAAAAUGCUUGAAUUUGGUGGUGUAAUGUUUGCAUUUCUAGAAACAAGUGUCUUUCCUAGUAACCACAGUGGAAAAUUUCAGUAAAACUGUUUUUUAAAUUGAUAUCUCCGGAGUAGUGCUGUUCAGUGUUGUACAGUGUGUGUCAUCAUUAAAUAUUUAAAACCGUAGGCUUUCAGUCGGUUUCUUGACUUGCUUUCUGUUCAGUGGUUUUGACAUUGCAUAACUGUAAUUGUUCACUUGUUGAAGUAGCUGUGGAAUUAUAAUCUUAGCACAGCUGUUAAUUCAGUCUGUAUGUAAAUUGUUUGAAGAGACUAAAUCUAGAACUAUCAGCAAGUAAUUACGGAAUGAUCAAACUGACAGGAUACAGGUAGGGAGAUGAAUCUAGGGAGUCUCUGCUUUAAAUUUGUAUCACAACAGAAAUCACUGGACUUUGACAUCAACAGAGAAAAGAAACUGUAUAUCCCAUACUCCAGGCAACAUUCUCCUGCAUAGGAAUUAAUUCCCUUACACCAGUAAUAUUUUAUGGUGUCCUCAUUUUUCUUUAGUGGUGCUGACUUACAAGAAGCAAAGAUGGCUAGUAAUAUUAUGCAAAAAAAAAAAAAAUCAAAUUAAAUUACACUGAGUUUCUGAAGUUAAUAUUUCUUUGAUUUCUUGCCUGGCCAGAACUUCUGAUGCUUAGCAAGAUGGCUAGAUAUAGUGUUUGGAUAUUGGUGAUGAACCGCUGAUUUUGGUUUAAUGUGUGUUAUUCCUGUGACUAAUUGCCCAGAUUCGAGUAUAUGUCAGUUAGGAUACAUGAGUAGUCACUGGGGUACUUUCCAUGAAGGGUAACCUGUGAUUGGUGUUAUAUCUUAGGUGUAAAAAAUAUCUUACUACACUGGGGAGCCCAGAGCUGGAGGCAGUCCCAUGCAAGUGUCUCACCAGUGCUGAGUAGACAGGAAGAAUGACCUCCCUUGACCUGCUGGUGAUGCUUUUGCUAAUUUAGCCUAGGUGGCUCUUGGCCAUCUGUGUCACAAGGGUACAUUUCGCUGGCUUAUGAUCAGCUUGAUGCCUACAAGAACUCCAGGGUUCUCUGACAACCUGCUUUUCAGCCAGUCAGCUCCCAGAACGUAGUGGUACAUGGGAUUAUUCUCUCCAGGGGGAGGACUGAUUUUCUUGAAUUUCUUUGAGAAUUUGAAAUUUUCUCCAGAGGACCAGACAAAAUGCAUAUGGGAAGAAAAACAUCUGACGGCUUAAAAAGGAUUGGAUAGGACACUGUUCAGUGUAUCUCAAUUCCAAAGAUAAUUUAAAACUAUAAAACAGUUCAUUGUGUUCAGUUAUAAAUGG
Long non-coding RNA from Pseudopipra pipra, 2387 nucleotides. RefSeq lists it as uncharacterized. NCBI's taxonomy places the organism in Eukaryota, Metazoa, Chordata, Aves, Passeriformes, Pipridae. The record is from RefSeq and is a predicted model, not a curated record. The transcript has 2 exons.